GCCUGGGUGGCUCAGUUGGUUGAGCGUCUGACUUCGGCUCAGAUCAUGACCUCACGGUUCGUGAGUUCAAGCCCCAUGUCAGGCU
This 85-nucleotide transfer RNA is filed under the name Felis catus (domestic cat). It matches the Rfam family "tRNA". Rfam says of the family: Transfer RNA (tRNA) molecules are approximately 80 nucleotides in length. Their secondary structure includes four short double-helical elements and three loops (D, anti-codon, and T loops). The record is from Rfam by way of RNAcentral. Lineage: Eukaryota; Metazoa; Chordata; Mammalia; Carnivora; Felidae.